UUGACAGAACCAAAGACUAAAAUCUUCUCUUGAGCUGCAAAGCAGAUACAACUGGACUGCAAAGCAGUUCCAGGGGCUGUGAAAGAGUCCUUCCUCAGUCAUGCCAGUGGAGCUCGAGCCUGAAACAGUGGACCACGUCCAGGGGUGAGAGGGGAAUUAAUUCUCCAUUGCCCGUUCAGUGUUUGGCCUCU
Molecule: small RNA, 191 nt
Filed under: Nothoprocta perdicaria
Lineage: Eukaryota; Metazoa; Chordata; Aves; Tinamiformes; Tinamidae
Description: TUC338 (ENSNPEG00000010727.1)
Source: RNAcentral